This is a long non-coding RNA of Zalophus californianus (California sea lion), 842 nucleotides long. RefSeq lists it as uncharacterized. The transcript has 3 exons. NCBI's taxonomy places the organism in Eukaryota, Metazoa, Chordata, Mammalia, Carnivora, Otariidae. The record is from RefSeq and is a predicted model, not a curated record.
GCUCGCGGUGCACUGGCUGCGCCCUCCCAGGGCUGAUGCUGCGUCCUGCUCCGCUGUUCUGGGACGUCGGGGGCAAAAGUGGAGGAGACGGGAGAGUCCGGGCAGAAAAAGCAGGACGCGCGUCCCAGGUGAGGAAACUGACGGCUUGUGAUUGAAAUGAAACAACCUGUCCCCCGCCUUACUGCGAAUAAAAUCGCCCAGCCCAAAUUUCCCGUCGGCGUCCCUCGCGUAAGUUCCAGACCCGGCGGGCGAGCGUGGUGCUAACUCCAGCCCUGGCUCUGCCGCGCUUGCUAUGUGACCUCCAGUCAGCCGCUUCUCCCAGUCCUAGCCGAGGUCUUAGAGCUCCGGCGCCUGCAGAGUCGCCUACUUGAUAUAGACUAAACAAGACUUUCCGGGGAUGCCUGCGACACCCAUCAGAGGGCAGAAAUCUGUACACCUGCGGAUGCACUUUCAUAGAGGAAGACCAUAUGGCCUUGGCAUGACCAACGACAUCUAAAAACUAAAAUUACUCUGAGCUGGAAGAAUACAGUUGGAGACACAGCCGGAAAGGCUCUCCCAAUCCGAGGCUGUCCUGGGGCGCGACCCAUACCCCACCCUUGGCCCUUCCCCCACAGUCCUCCAACCUUCUUGCUUGGAGUCUGAUCAGCGAAGGGCCCUCGCUCCUGCUGCGGAAGGAGGCUCCAGGAUGCGAGAAGGGAGCAUUCCGCUGUUUAGAAAUUAGUAUCUCGGGGCGCCUGGGUGGCUCAGUCGUUAAGCGUCUGCCUUCGGCUCAGGUCAUGAUCCCAGGGUCCAAGGAUCGAGCCCCAUAUCGGGCUCCCUGCUCAGCUGGAAGCCUGCUUCUC